UCUCAUGAGUGUAUAUUCAUCUAUUACUGGUACCUAUGUUUGUAUAUUUUUUCUGAGAAAUUCCUCUUUAUAGUAUUUCCAUGACAUACUGGAGAUUUUCCCCUGGAAAAACUAAUGGUUGGAGCACAUUCUGAAAAUCACAAGAAGGGAAGUGCCUCUGAGCUAGUAACUUUGCUAAAGGAAAUUGUCAUCCCAGACGUUGUGUAGCCUUAAAAUCCAUGGGAUGAUGUAGGAAGAAAGCCCUCACCAGAUGCUGACGUCGUGAUCUUGGACUUCCCAGCUUCCAGACCGGUAAGGAUAAGUUUCUGUUCAUUGUGAAUGACCCAGUCUCAGCUAUUCUGUUACAGUUACAUAAAUGGACCAAGAGAGUCAGGGAAGCAGCAUGGAACAGCUUAUGAAACUUUUGCAUCUGAGGCAGGCUCCCGUGCUCUAUCUACUCAUUUUUAUUUUUAACUUUGUGACUUUAUUACUUCGGUCUCCUAGAAUAAACCAUUUAAUCUCUUUGCACUGGGGCUUCAUAAUCUACAAAUGGGAAAAGUAGGUUAGAAAACUUCUGAUCUCCUUUCUAGAUGUGACAUUCUGUGAUUCCAGAUAGUGGAAUACAAUAGGGUGGGCUUUUGUUUCCCUCUCCUAGAGUAGAUGAGAAAUCAUGUAAGCAGAAAGCCCAUUUAUAAUGCUUUCCUGCCUCAUAUUUUUUCUCAGACACAAUUGGAGUACAAUAGAUAUUUAAUAGAUCCUUGUUAACUGAAUAAUGUUCCUUCUGUAUGGUCAGGAGCCCUCAGAUACCUUUGUAAAUACUCUCAAUUUAGACUUCAGGGCAUUAAAGGAAGAUGCUUCAUUUUGCCAAUGACAUUCUUUUUUGAUACAACUUAACAGCAUGGAUUUAGCUUUUGCUUUAUGUGAGUAAAGCAAAGUUGUUAAAUUCAGGCAUCUUCCUGGAAUAAAUGUGAACUGCUGUAAUUAGAAACUUUUUCUGUCAUAAUUAUGUCCUAGAGGCUGAGACAUGGGUUCCUUUUAAUAAAUGGAAAAGGAAAGUUACCCAGGCCAAGGAGAUUAAUCUUUGGAAGAGAGUCUAGCAGAAAUAGAACAACCUACCUCAGAAACUGGAUGAACAAAUACCCACAUGAGAGAAACAGAAACCACAGGUCAUAGGAAAAGGCUCUGAACCACAAGAAGAAUGUGAAAGAAAGGGGCUGAAUUCUGACCACAGGAGGAGUCACAAAAAAAUCUCCCUUUGUGUGGUUCUCAGUGAGCUGGUCUGAAAGGGAAAUGAGUAGUGAAGGGCUUUUCAUUUUAAAUUUUAGUCAAAAGAAAAAUCUGUUCUGUUGCAUUAUGGCCCAUGCAGAAAAGAAGGAAAAUCAAAGUAAUGAUGAGGAGGCCAUUUAAAGGGGGGAAAUAUAAUAACUUUCAUUUAGUCUGUUUAUUUCUUUUAAAAAUAUACGACAUUUGGCAGAGGUAACAUGUAUAUCACUGAGGAUGACAGAUGAUGUGGAGAUGUAAAGUAUGAAAAUGAAAAUAGUCAUUUAAAAAAUCUUAAUAAUUUGGGGACAUGUUUAGAAAACUCUUAAGUCAAUAUCUUCCUACUCUUUUCAUAUCACGGUUCAUAUUAAAA
Long non-coding RNA from Sapajus apella (tufted capuchin), 1612 nucleotides. RefSeq lists it as uncharacterized. NCBI's taxonomy places the organism in Eukaryota, Metazoa, Chordata, Mammalia, Primates, Cebidae. The record is from RefSeq and is a predicted model, not a curated record. The transcript is spliced from 2 exons.